AGUUCAGCCUAGUUCAGUUAAUUUUAGCUGGUGUAAUAAAAAGUAUGAUUAUUAUAUACCGAUGUGAUGUGGCAUCGAUUUGUUUAUAAAUAAUUAUCAAAUUAUCAGUUGCCGAGGAUGAAGCAAAUAAGCUUUGAUCUGCUUUAAUCGGUAGCGCUUACCGGGACAAAUCAAUAGGACGAUCCACCGGCCUAACUUCAAAAGAUGACACUAUACCGGUGAAAAACAAUUUAAAUAUGAACAACGGGCAUUACUGAAAUCGGUAACAAAGAUAGUUGAUUCUCCCGGACUUGCUUCUAAGGAAUUUGCCCCGGCUAUAAACUUUCAGCAGCGGCAGCAUUUAAUAAAGAUUUCCGGAGCUUAAUUUUGUCCUUCAACAGUUUCAGUGCUGUUUCAAACACUCGCUCUUGAUCUAGAGCUCCUUAUAAAUCUGAUUCCUGUAAAAAAUUGAUAAAUAAUUGUGCGGCUGUUUUGCUGUGCUGAUCAGCCCGAUUCACGCGUAAAAAAUCAGUCGCAGCGGCACAUUCGAGGCAGGACGAUCAUAACGGAACUCUUCUGUAGAAGGAAACGCAACAAUUCAAGCGAAAACAAAUUAACUGAUGUAAUUCGAAGAUUUGCUAGCUGUCAUUUAGCGAUGUCUCGUCUUCAUCCCUCCAGUGUA
This is a long non-coding RNA of Wyeomyia smithii (pitcher-plant mosquito), 661 nucleotides long. RefSeq lists it as uncharacterized. Lineage: Eukaryota; Metazoa; Arthropoda; Insecta; Diptera; Culicidae. The record is from RefSeq and is a predicted model, not a curated record. The transcript is spliced from 3 exons.